UACGGAGGGGGCUAGCGUUGUUCGGAAUUACUGGGCGUAAAGUGUGCGCAGGUGGCCGCGCAAGUCGGGUGUGAAAUCCCCGAGCUUAACUUGGGAAUUGCGCUCGAAACUACGUGGCUCGAGUGUGGCAGAGGAAGGUGGAAUUCCACGUGUAGCGGUGAAAUGCGUAGAGAUGUGGAGGAACACCGAUGGCGAAGGCAGCCUUCUGGGCCAACACUGACGCUCAUGCACGAAAGCGUGGGGAGCAAACAGG
This 253-nucleotide ribosomal RNA is filed under the name uncultured bacterium. RNAcentral describes it as "partial 16S ribosomal RNA". It matches the Rfam family "Bacterial small subunit ribosomal RNA", at positions 524 to 776 of the family's 1533-position model. The record is from RNAcentral.